GACGAACGCUGGCGGCGUGCUUAACACAUGCAAGUCGAACGGUGAAGCGCUUGCCUUUUUGGUGGGUGUGGAUGAGUGGCGAACGGGUGAGUAACACGUGAGUAACCUGCCCUCUUCUUCUGGAUAACCUCAUGAAAGUGGGGCUAAUACGGGGUAUUCCGGGUCUGUCGCAUGGCGGGUUUGGGAAAGAUUGCGCCUUUGGGUGUUUUCGGUGGGGGAUGGGCUCGCGGCCUAUCAGCUUGUUGGUGGGGUGAUGGCCUACCAAGGCGGUGACGGGUAGCCGGCCUGAGAGGGUGGACGGCCAAACUGGGACUGGGCCACGGCCCAGACUCCUGCGGGAGGCAGCAGUGGGGAAUAUUGCACAAUGGGCGCAAGCCUGAUGCAGCGACGCCGCGUGAGGGAUGGAGGCCUUCGGGUUGUGAACCUCUUUCGCCAGUGAAGCAGGCCUGCUCCUGUGUGGGUGGGUUGACGGUAGCUGGAUAAGAAGCGCCGGCUAACUACGUG
Molecule: ribosomal RNA, 504 nt
Filed under: uncultured bacterium
Lineage: Bacteria
Description: partial 16S ribosomal RNA
Rfam family: Bacterial small subunit ribosomal RNA
Source: RNAcentral